This 499-nucleotide long non-coding RNA is filed under the name Olea europaea subsp. europaea. The record is from RNAcentral. Lineage: Eukaryota; Viridiplantae; Streptophyta; Magnoliopsida; Lamiales; Oleaceae.
CGUGUGUUGAUAUCUACACCCAUUUCAUCAUACAUGCCGACAUGAAGAAUUAUCAUCAGAAACUCAAAAAUAUUGUAAAUAAAUUAUCAGGACAUCUAUUUUUCUUUAAGAACCACAAAUAGAAAAUUAACAGUAACACAACUUGUAUGCAAAAUCAAUAAUAAUAAUUCUUGUUUAAAAAAUUUAACUUUCAUUUUUUUUAAAGUAAAGACAAUUUGCUUCCAAUCCUCACGUAAAAGUUAACUUUCAUUUUUUUUUUUUUUAUUUGAACAAUUUUGCCUUCUUCAUUUUAAAUAGAGGGAAGCUACAUAAAAGAAUAAUUCAGUAUGCAAAAACUAGUGUUCCAAAAUUUGGAUGACCAUCCAAUACACAAUCAAUAAACUUGAAAAAUAACUCAUGCCACCUAAAAUCUUUAGAAUCCAGAUACUUACACCACUUUCGGGGAGGUACAUAGGUGAAGCAUUUGCCAAAAAGUAUAUUCAAUGUCCAUUUGUUGCCA